UGCCAAGCUACCGAUGCACUGCCAACAGA
RNAcentral lists this non-coding RNA (29 nucleotides) under Rattus norvegicus (Norway rat). Lineage: Eukaryota; Metazoa; Chordata; Mammalia; Rodentia; Muridae. The record is from RNAcentral.